GCUGUCCUGGACCUGCCAGCACCACAGACACAGCUACUGUGCUGUGCCUGUGACAUCAGGGCAAAGAGCAAGUGGCUAUUUCUAUGCUCAGUGUUCAGAAGCCAGUGAGCACUAAAAAUAGUUUAUAGCCUGACAUUU
Castor canadensis (American beaver) is the source of this 138-nucleotide small nucleolar RNA. The record is from Ensembl. NCBI's taxonomy places the organism in Eukaryota, Metazoa, Chordata, Mammalia, Rodentia, Castoridae.